Molecule: ribosomal RNA, 146 nt
Filed under: Picozoa sp.
Lineage: Eukaryota; Picozoa
Description: partial small subunit ribosomal RNA
Rfam family: Eukaryotic small subunit ribosomal RNA
Source: RNAcentral
AGUUGGUGGAGUGAUUUGUCUGGUUAAUUCCGAUAACGAACGAGACCUUAACCUGCUAAAUAGUAGUCCGAUGAUUUCUUCAUCGUGUCGACUUCUUAGAGGGACUAUCGGUGUCUAACCGAUGGAAGUUUGAGGCAAUAACAGGU